GUUGUGGGUCCGAGUCUCGGGUCGGUAACACCACGAUGCCCUUGAGCAAGGCACCGAACCCCCAACUGCUCCCCGGGUGCCGCAGCAUAAAUGACUGCCCACUGCUCCAGUGCUGCGUGUGUUUUCCUGUCCCCUUUGGAUUUAUUAAAGACUUUGAAUUGUGACAUUGCCUCUCCUCGAUCCUCGCUCCAUGCUCCUCACAGUAACACCCCGUGACAGAAUUCCAGACCAAAAGACAAAACUGGCUGGUCCAAAGUCGACUUCCCAAGUCAAGCCUGCCAUCCGCGGCAAGCCCAAAGGAUGUUAAUGUGGCAAGCCCAAAGGACGUUAAUGUGGCAAGCCUGGCAACCCCAAAGCUCACUCCAGUGCCCGCUCCUCGAAAAAGUGCCUUCCAGAGCACCCUCCAGUGCCCGCUCCUCGUAAGUGCCUUCCAGAGUUCGCUCCAGUGUCGGCUCAGGCCCCAGAGUUUGCUCCAGUGUUAGCCCAGACCACACCUUUUCCCCCCUGAUCCAGAAGAGGAAACUAGGGGUGAGGAGAAGGGUGUCGGCCCAGGCCCAGAGCAAAGCCCAGGAAGGGCUCCAGAUCCCCAGUAAAGCCCAGGAAGGGCUCCAGAUCCCCAGUAAAGCCCAGGAAGGGCUCCUGAUCCCGAGUCUAGCCCAGGGAGGGCUCCCGAAUCCUCGUUAAGCCCAGGGAGGGCUCCUGAUUCCUCGUUUAGUCCAGGGAGGGCUCCUGAUCCCCAGUCUUGCACAGGAAGGGCUCCAGAUCCUCAAGUAUGCCCAGGGAGGGCUCCUGUCCCUGAGUUUAACCCAGUGUCGGCUCCAGCCCCACAGCUCACUCCAGUGUUGGCUCCAGGCCCAGAGCUCGUUCCAAUGUCGGCCCCAGCCCCAGAACGCACUCAAGUGCCCGCUCCUCCAGAGCACUCGCCAGAGCUAGCUCCUCUGGAGCGCUCAUCAAGAUACCUAGUUUUCCCCAAUACAUUUUUUUGGGUAGGGGGGCAUAUGCAUGGUGGCUGAGCUGGCUAAGGCCACGGAGUAUCUGCCAUGGCCUCCCGGGUCCCCUGCUCCGCCAUGGCUCCCUGAACUGGUCGCUCUGCCAUGGCUCCCUGAUCAGCCCUGGAGGCUCUCCUUGUCUUGGCUAACCCACCCACCCCGAAGGUGAUGUUACAGCGCGGGAUGCACCGUCCGGGAAGGGGGACGAUCUGUCACAUGUAUGUUCCCAUUCUCCUUAUUUGUUUUUUCCUGUUCCUGUCCUCGUCAUGUGAAUUCUUCUCUGGUUGUGUUUGAUUAAUUAGUUUGUAUUGUUCCCAGGUAUGUCUCAUUAGUAUCUGCCCUAUUUAGUUCUAGCCCAUUCUGUUCUACCUUGUCUGGAAUUGUUUGUGUCUACAGUGCUAUGUG
This is a long non-coding RNA of Cyprinus carpio carpio, 1394 nucleotides long. The record is from Ensembl. Lineage: Eukaryota; Metazoa; Chordata; Actinopteri; Cypriniformes; Cyprinidae.